GACGGAGGGGACUAGCGUUGUUCGGAAUUACUGGGCGUAAAGCGCACGUAGGCGGAUUUGUAAGUCAGGGGUGAAAUCCCGGGGCUCAACCUCGGAACUGCCUUUGAUACUGCAAAUCUCGAGUCCGGAAGAGGUGAGUGGAAUUCCUAGUGUAGAGGUGAAAUUCGUAGAUAUUAGGAAGAACACCAGUGGCGAAGGCGGCUCACUGGUCCGGUACUGACGCUGAGGUGCGAAAGCGUGGGGAGCGAACAGG
This 253-nucleotide ribosomal RNA is filed under the name uncultured bacterium. Its description in RNAcentral is "partial 16S ribosomal RNA". It matches the Rfam family "Bacterial small subunit ribosomal RNA", at positions 524 to 776 of the family's 1533-position model. The record is from RNAcentral.